GUACACACCGCCCGUCACACCAUGGGAGUGGGUUGCACCAGAAGUAGCUAGCCUAACCUUCGGGAGGGCGCCGACCACGGUGUGGUCAAUGGCUGGGGUGAAGUCGUAACAAGGUAGCCGUAGGUGAACCUGCAGAAGGAUCA
This 143-nucleotide ribosomal RNA is filed under the name uncultured eukaryote. RNAcentral describes it as "partial small subunit ribosomal RNA". It matches the Rfam family "Bacterial small subunit ribosomal RNA", at positions 1383 to 1525 of the family's 1533-position model. The record is from RNAcentral.